CACGAGCUUAGCCCUCACUUCCUCUGCGGAUAGGUCAAAUCCUGCUCUUCACAGGACCUUCCUCCCCACUGACAGCGGUUUACAACCCGAAGGCCUUCAUCCCGCACGCGGCGUCGCUCGGUCAGACUUGCGUCCAUUGCCGAAGAUUCUCGACUGCAGCCACCCGUAGGUGUCUGGGCAGUGUCUCAGUCCCAAUGACGCGGGUCGUGCUCUCACACCCGCUACCCAUCGAUGCCUUGGUGGGCCGUUACCCGCCAACUAGCUAAUAGGAUAUAGACUCAUCCCCAGGCGGAUUCACACCUUUGAUCCGAAGAUGUCAUCAGGUAUUACCGGCUAGUUUCCCGCCGCUAUCCCUGUCCUGAGGGCAGAUAAUCUAUACAUUACUGUCCCUUUCGCCGCUGAUGUAUUGCUACACCGCGCGACUUGCAUGACCUAUCCACGCCGCCAACGUUCAUUCUGAGCCAGGAUACAAACUCUCUACG
Molecule: ribosomal RNA, 482 nt
Filed under: uncultured Planctomycetaceae bacterium
Lineage: Bacteria; Pseudomonadati; Planctomycetota; Planctomycetia; Planctomycetales; Planctomycetaceae
Description: partial 16S ribosomal RNA
Source: RNAcentral